This 85-nucleotide transfer RNA is filed under the name Felis catus (domestic cat). It matches the Rfam family "tRNA". From Rfam's summary of the family: Transfer RNA (tRNA) molecules are approximately 80 nucleotides in length. The record is from Rfam by way of RNAcentral. Lineage: Eukaryota; Metazoa; Chordata; Mammalia; Carnivora; Felidae. RNAcentral also lists the same sequence under 1 other name.
GCCUGGGUGGCUCAGUCAGUUAAGCAUCUGAUUUUGGCUCAGGUCAUGAUCUCACAGUUCAUGGGUUCGAUCCCCACACUGGGCU